AAGAAUGACACUAGAAUAUUUAGGCAGACCCUAUUCUCAUUUUUAUUACACAUUCCAUCAUUUAGGUUUAUAGGAGCCAUUUUUCACUCACUUAUUGAGAGAUAUAUAGGCAAUCUUGUAUUCGAGAUACAGGGAAACUGCGUAAAGUUUUUCCAGAUGGACUUCACCUUAAUAACAGGGCUGAAGUUUAGUGACCUCUCUAUACCUAAUAUCCCUCGUUUGAAGAAGUCAAUAAGAGAAAAAUACUUCAAUUCAAAUCCUAUCCUAAAGAAACAUGUACUGGAGGUGUUCAAUAGGAUAGUUGAUAGCAAGAAGCAUGAAGAUGUCGUGAAGGUAGACCUAAUAUUAUGUGUAGAGUGGUUUGUUAGGGGAACCGACAUGAAUAUUAUGUGUUGUACAGAAUUUAUCAACCUUGUUGACUCGUUGGAAGACUUUAAACACUACCCUUGGGGUAGUGUGGCCUUCCAGACGAUGACUGAAGGGAUCGAUAAUGCCUUGAUGGCAUCACAUGGGCUUCAUUACAAUGUCACCGGUUGCAUAUUUCCCCUAUAAGUAAGGAUUCUGUCCUUGUCUAUUUUAAUUUAUAGUUUAUACGAAAGUAUAUGUAUUUAACAUCAUCUUGUCAUUUCAUUGUAACAGAUAUGGGCCCUCGAGAGAGAACCGACUCUCUGACAAUGUAUCAUUUUAUACAUUCCCUCCCAAAUUCCAAGAUUCACACAAUAUCGAGGAUGGAAGGGUUGGAGGUAUAAAAAGAUUCAUCAAAUACUAGAGAGUGAAGAUACUGAGAUAGUUCUUAUCUUAGAGCCUACCAUUGAGGAGCUGGAGACGGAGGCCGUUUGUUUGGUCCGUGAUAGAUUUGAUGGCAUUAAAGAUGAAGAUGAUGAAGAUAUGGAAGGGAGAUCGGGACAAGGAGAGAGAGAAGAAGGGGGAGAGGAAGAGAG
Molecule: long non-coding RNA, 941 nt
Organism: Magnolia sinica
Lineage: Eukaryota; Viridiplantae; Streptophyta; Magnoliopsida; Magnoliales; Magnoliaceae
Exons: 3
Source: RefSeq, a predicted model, not a curated record